AACUGUAAUUACGAAAGAGGACAAUGAGCUAUAUGGCUCGAGCUUGGGGCUCCAUACAGUUUCAAGAUAAGGCCUUCCGAACUUAUGGGUGAAAUUUCCUACCAAAGGCAAGUAUUAACAAAAGAGGCAAUGACUAGAGGAUGUAUCAUUUUUUCCAUAUAAUCAAAAUUUGAUCUGGUUAAUUAGGUAAUUGACAAAAAAAGGUAUUAUAUUAUGAGCGGAAUUUGCGUAUCAAGAGGUGCUUAACUAUCAUCGUGUAUAUACCAAAAUAUAUGAAUUUGGAAUAGUAGAAUGAAGAGAGUUAACCAAAAUGCUAAGGUAAAUAUUUUUUAAAUAAUGAUAGUAAAAAAUAGAAAAAAAAUUUAGGUUAACACUUUUUAGUUUAUUUUCACAAAAUAGCAUUUAAAGAGGAAAAUGACCAAAAUAAGUUUUAUUAAAUGGUUUAAGUACAUAUUUAUACCACAUGAUUAACUAAUUUAAACUUAAGAUUUAGAGUUAAAGGAUGGAGUUUUAAAGAUAAGGUUUCAAAUUUUAAGAAUAAUAAAUAAAUAUUAAAAAUUCUAUAAUAAAAAAGAUUAUUUUGAUCAUUUUUCUUUCGAAAAGCUAUUUUGUGACAAAAAUUUAAAAUGAUUAUUUGAAAGAAUUAACCUAAAAAUAUGAAUUACAAUUUCUUUAACUAGUUGUAGUUUUCUAAUUUGUUAUUUGUUUUACACACACAAUGUAAACAGCACAAAAAUUAUUUAACAAAUUUUACAACUCUAUAAUAGCUCUACUAGUUGAAUCGAUCUGGUCAGAGUCGGAGUAUUUAUUUCCCAUAUUAAGGCCUGUGAAGAAGAUUUAAUUUCCCAUCGACACUUGGACAGAGUGUUAAGCGACAUUAUGAAGCUAAAAAUAUGCCUUUUGGUUCCUGCUCUGAUGGAAUUAUAUAUAACUCGGUCUGAAAUCUCAUAGUUAAUAACAUAUACAGUAGCUAGCACAAGAUAAAGAGGUUAAAGAUUUAAUAGUUUUUUUUGUUUUAGUGCUAAUAGUUUAGUUCUGUAAAUUUGUUGCUAGAUACAAGACAAUAAACUCUAAAGAGAUUUUAUUGAUGAGUAAUUGAUACCAAAUGUGAAGAGCAUAUGGCUGUGAAUAUAUAGAGAUAUGCUUUAGCUAGAGACCUAGAGUGGAUAGGGAUAAAUGUACACUGCACCACCUCCACAACUGGAUAUUUCGAUUGUACGGAAAACCGGGUCUGGAGAAGCGAAAAUUGUUCCUUUUUUUUAAUCAAAAUUUUGUUCUAAUUAAAAAUAGUUAAUUUCUGAGUAAAGCAAGUUUGUGGAUAAAAAUACGAAUAAAAUAAAUGGUUUAUGCCAAACAUUGAUGAUGUUGCAAAAUCAGCGCUCUUAGCAGAUUUAAAUAUUUUAGGUUAUAUUCUGAUAAGUCUGGCUGUAUAACAUAAUUAGAGUAAAAUAGUAAAGGUGGAAAAUUUUAGCUGGUUUGCUCUCGUUUAAACCAAUCAAAAUAAUAAAUACAGAAAUCAUUUCUGCCAUUUUGUUCCAAAAAUGAGAAUAAAGUAGAGUAAAAUUUCUUUCACCUCGGAUGAAGUAAAAAUGUUAUUUUUCUUUCAGUUUCAGCUCAUUUUCACCUUUUUCACAUUUUUCAUCUGUUAUAUAACCAAUCACACCCGAUAUAUAUUGCUAGAUACUAUGUACAUUAUGGUUAGUAAGAAUGUUUAUGCCAAUACUGAUAAUGUUGAUAUAUACCUGAUGAUUUAGUUAGUGAAAAUGAACGAAACUUGUUUAUGCAAAAUAGACAAAGGCAAUUUGGAAAUUUUCUUGAUUUUCUUGGGGGGUAAAAUUUGCUGAUUUUUAUUUAUUAAUUCAUCAACUUCGAAAUUGUUCCUAAUUUCAAGAGAUAGUAUCAAGAAGAGAAAAACAGCACUUUAACAAAAAGAGAACAGAAGAGCAUCUAAUAAUAUAUCGACUGAAAAAAUUCUUUUAGUUUUGUCGACAGCUUUAGAAGUCUAUCGUUUACUUUUUUAUUAGGAAGGUGGCAUCUUCAAUUAUACUACUUUUGAUAUAAAAUUUGUUUAUAUAUAUUUUUCUCCUCUCUUUUAAAGACGAGAGACUCGAGUCAUUUUCACUUUAAAGGUAAUUGUGAACUAUUGCAAUAAAAUAACAAACUAACAACCUCUUUUCCCUUCUAAUUAAGUAUUGUGAAAAUAAGGAUGCCUAUGAUAGUUUUAGGAUAAGUUCAUAGAAGAAAAGAAAGAAUUCUAAACUGUAUAAGUCAGUGUGUGUUAAGCGUAUAAUCAAUAAAAAAUGGGUGAAAACGAUUUUUAAGAAAGUUAAUCGCUUCUACUUUCUACAUACCUACUUCUGAUUCUGCUUAAUCUAGAUAAAAACAAAUGGUGACAUUAUUAUAGCGUUUUGGUUUCUGAUGAAAACGUCAUAAUAAACGAGUGCAGGGGUAAAAAAUAUCCAAAAUGCCAACAAAAGCAAUGCAUAUAAAUUGAUUUUAGUUUACAAAAAAAUAUAUAUAUAUAUAUAUAUAUAUAUAUAUAUAUAUAUAAAAAUUGAUUUUUAAUAUAAGAUUUGAUUACUUAUGUGUAGUUGACGAAACACUCACACACUUCACUGUUUUUGGAAACUUUGUUCGUGAUACUCAGGGUUUAGUUUGAUUGAUCCAAAUAAAGUAUAAGAUACAUUACUACAUGAAAUGAAUGAAUGAAUGUAAAUUGCGAUUUUACCAAGGGCUAAUAGGAGGUAUAUAAUUGGCCUAUCAUUCAAAAUGUUAAAAUACCCAUCAUCCAUGCAAUUUGCCACUUGGAUGCUGCAUGUUGAAUUUGAUCUCAGAAUGCAAUUUUUCUUAGAGCUCUUAUGAUUGGUUACUCGCAUAGCUAGGUUUCUUCUAUUAACUCCCCAUCAGCAUCCAUAGGCUUUGUGAUUUGAUAGAUUCUUUUCAUAUUUCUGUACCUAUUUCCCUACCUAUCCAUCUAAUACAAUAAUUUUAUCACCAAAUAAUGCAACCCGAUAUAUAUACAUACAUGGUUUUAUUUUAAAAUUUGUCUAUACCUACUACUGUCUAAUAUGCAGCUUACGUGCUGAACUUAUUUAGUAUCCGUGUCAGCCAGUAGCUAUUUACCUAGUGACAUCUCCAACCCAAAUGCAAAACACUAGUAUCUUUAACUCAACUGCAAAAUAAUAUUUUAGUAUUAAUUUUACAUUAAAACAUUCUUCAAUCCAACACUAAAAUUCACAUCAUUUUAGUGUAACACUAUAAGUUCACAUCAAAUUUGUUGUGAUACUGUUCACCAUACUAAAACAUUAUUCACUUAUUUUAUUAAUAAAUUAUAUUAUUGAAAACGAAAAUUAAAAAAUUAAAUAAAUAUAAUAUUAUAACAUAGUUUUUAGUGUGAAGUUUUAGUGUUGUGGUCGGAGAUGAAUUCGCUUUUAGUGUUUAAACUACACUAAAAUUGUAUGGUUUUGACACUAAAAUAGUGUUAUGGGUUGGAGAUGCUCUACAUAUUUUUUUUUUGGUGCAACAGCAAAACAGAUAAAGUAUAUAUUUUCUAUCAUUUGUAGAACAGCUUAGAGCAUUGUUAAAGGUAGAGUUGUUAAAUUGGGUAUCUAAAUAAUAAUAUAUCAAUAUUUACUGAAAAAUCUUAUAGAUAAUUAAAUGUUAUUUUUUCUUAAAAAAGUGUUAAUCAGAAAAUGACACUUGGUUUUGUAGUUUCUAAAGUUUUGGAUGAUAGUAUACUAAACCAUUAUCUGCAGGAAACUAUUGUGGUGUUUUAAAAUUUUCUCUCCUACUUUAAUUUUUUUUUUGGUCAAACUUUUUUGCAUUAACUUAAAAAAAAAUUUAAUUAUACUUUUUAGUUGAAACUCUUUAUAAGAAUUUGCUGUUAAAGGUGUUCUUAGACAAAAUAAUAGUAUAUAGCUUCUCAAAAAUAUUAGUAUGAUUUAUCAUCAAAAAUACUAGUACGUUGGUUGGCAUAAUUUGCUAUUAAUAUUUAUUAACGAUAUAUACUUAUUGAUUUAACCGGUUUGUGCUUUUCAGAGUUGUAGAUAAUUAGUUACUACAUGGAUGGUAGGGGAGAUAUAAGUACAUAAAAUGUAAAACAGAACAAUUUUACAUGGUGUGAGUUUUGCAUAUUACAGCUACGUUUAGUAGUAAUUUUAAGUUCCGCAUAUUUAAAUAAAUUUCACAAACUUUGGUUUUAAACCAUGUUUUUUUUACAUAAAAAAACAUGUUUAAUGACUUGUUAAUGUUUCUAAAUCUAUAAUUAGCGAACUAAUAACAUUAAACCCAUAUUUAAUGACUUCAGUAUAUCUAUAUUUUGCAUAAAUAAUGUAACCGUCAACACAAAAUUAAAUAGUAGGAUUUUAAAAUCAUAUUUGUUUUUUUUUUUGUUUUUUGAAACACAAAAAUCAUAUUUGACUACAGAUUACAAUUUAUGGUGUGUGCUUAUUUAUUUUUUCUAAAAAUAUAAGAUGUGCUAAAGUGUCUUCUCGUUGAUGGACAUUUGAUUGACCCAUGCAUUUCCGGGCCAGGUUUGUUCGAAAAUUACCUGACACAAAGCUACGGUUUCGUAUGAAUCCAUGUAAAAAUCAAGCUUGCUUGGGUGCCUCCAUAUCACUCUUUUGGAUCUCGACCGUUGAUUCUCACCCAAAUUUACUGAUGUUUUGGGUUACUAGUUUAGCUCCAUAUGAAUUAAUUAUGACCUUGAUUCCUCGAACCAUACAUCAGAUUUGAAUUGAUAGUUAUAUCUGGUCUUAAUAUAGCAAUAAUUAUAGGCUUAUAUAUAAUAUAGCCGAGGAUACAAAUGGUUAAAAUCAAAUAACGGGGUAAUUAAGGUUAUUAUGUUGAUAUUUUAAGCUACCAUUCUUAGAAUUGAAUAUUUAUAAAUAUUAUUGCUUUUCAUAUAUCUUAGGCUGAAUUUUAAAGUUAUCUCAGAGCAAAGAAUAGCAUAUUGCUAAUUGCAUAUAUAUAGAUUUAUAUGUGAAUGCUCCAUGCAUAAUUUAAAAUCUCUGGAUAUCUUCAUAUGGAAUAUGAUGCAGAACAAAUAAUUGAUAUGAUUCGAGUUAAAUGAUUGAUAUGAUUCGAUCAAUGGGGGAAGUGUGUAUGCCCAUUCCUAGCUAAUAGGAAUCAUUUGUAGUCGCAGUGUAUAAACAUUUGGAAUCAGUGUUAAUAGGAUCGAUGUUAAAGUAAAUAAUUCUCUUUAAGUAAAUAAUUUUUUUAUUAUAUAAAGAGAUUUGCGAGUGUAUUUUAAAGAAUUGCGUACUAUCACUUGAUCAUGAUUGAGCGUAACAGAUUAUUGGUCUCAUUUAUGUAACAAAAAAAUAAAAGAAAGUAUACAACAAAGUUGUUUCUCAGAAAGAAAAAAGUAUUCAACAAAGUUAGAUACGAACAUACGUGCUAGGAAGUAAGAAAUAGGAAGUAAGAAAUACUA
Long non-coding RNA from Brassica rapa (field mustard), 5431 nucleotides. RefSeq lists it as uncharacterized. The record is from RefSeq and is a predicted model, not a curated record. NCBI's taxonomy places the organism in Eukaryota, Viridiplantae, Streptophyta, Magnoliopsida, Brassicales, Brassicaceae.